RNAcentral lists this ribosomal RNA (1971 nucleotides) under Listeria monocytogenes. RNAcentral describes it as "partial 23S ribosomal RNA". It matches the Rfam family "Bacterial large subunit ribosomal RNA", at positions 406 to 2375 of the family's 2925-position model. The record is from RNAcentral. Lineage: Bacteria; Bacillati; Bacillota; Bacilli; Caryophanales; Listeriaceae.
UCCUGAGUACGGCGGAACACGUGAAAUUCCGUCGGAAUCCGGGAGGACCAUCUCCCAAGGCUAAAUACUCCCUAGUGACCGAUAGUGAACCAGUACCGUGAGGGAAAGGUGAAAAGCACCCCGGAAGGGGAGUGAAACAGUUCCUGAAACCGUGUGCCUACAAGUAGUUAGAGCCCGUUAAUGGGUGAUAGCGUGCCUUUUGUAGAAUGAACCGGCGAGUUACGAUUUGUUGCAAGGUUAAGCGGAAAAAGCGGAGCCGUAGCGAAAGCGAGUCUGAAUAGGGCGCAUAAGUAACAGGUCGUAGACCCGAAACCAGGUGAUCUACCCAUGUCCAGGAUGAAGGUAAGGUAAUACUUACUGGAGGUCCGAACCCACGCACGUUGAAAAGUGCGGGGAUGAGGUGUGGGUAGCGGAGAAAUUCCAAUCGAACUUGGAGAUAGCUGGUUCUCUCCGAAAUAGCUUUAGGGCUAGCCUCGAGGUAAAGAGUCAUGGAGGUAGAGCACUGUUUGGACUAGGGGCCCUUCUCGGGUUACCGAAUUCAGAUAAACUCCGAAUGCCAUGUACUUAUACUCGGGAGUCAGACUGCGAGUGAUAAGAUCCGUAGUCGAAAGGGAAACAGCCCAGACCACCAGUUAAGGUCCCCAAAUAUAUGUUAAGUGGAAAAGGAUGUGGGGUUGCUUAGACAACCAGGAUGUUGGCUUAGAAGCAGCCACCAUUGAAAGAGUGCGUAAUAGCUCACUGGUCGAGUGACCCCGCGCCGAAAAUGUACCGGGGCUAAACAUAUUACCGAAACUGUGGAUGAACCUCUUUAGAGGUUCGUGGUAGGAGAGCGUUCUAAGGGCGGUGAAGUCAGACCGGAAGGACUGGUGGAGCGCUUAGAAGUGAGAAUGCCGGUAUGAGUAGCGAAAGAAGGGUGAGAAUCCCUUCCACCGAAUAUCUAAGGUUUCCUGAGGAAGGCUCGUCCGCUCAGGGUUAGUCGGGACCUAAGCCGAGGCCGAUAGGCGUAGGCGAUGGACAACAGGUAGAGAUUCCUGUACCAGUGCUAAUUGUUUAACCGAUGGGGUGACACAGAAGGAUAGGGAAUCGCACGAAUGGAAAUGUGCGUCCAAGCAGUGAGUGUGAGAAGUAGGCAAAUCCGCUUCUCGCGAAGCAUGAGCUGUGAUGGGGAAGGAAAUUAAGUACGGAAGUUCCUGAUUUCACGCUGUCAAGAAAAGCCUCUAGGAAGAGUAGUACUGCCCGUACCGCAAACCGACACAGGUAGAUGAGGAGAGAAUCCUAAGGUGAGCGAGAGAACUCUCGUUAAGGAACUCGGCAAAAUGACCCCGUAACUUCGGGAGAAGGGGUGCUCUAUUAGGGUGCAAGCCCGAGAGAGCCGCAGUGAAUAGGCCCAGGCGACUGUUUAGCAAAAACACAGGUCUCUGCAAAACCGUAAGGUGACGUAUAGGGGCUGACGCCUGCCCGGUGCUGGAAGGUUAAGAGGAGUGCUUAGCUUCGGCGAAGGUACGAAUUGAAGCCCCAGUAAACGGCGGCCGUAACUAUAACGGUCCUAAGGUAGCGAAAUUCCUUGUCGGGUAAGUUCCGACCCGCACGAAAGGCGCAACGAUCUGGGCACUGUCUCAACGAGAGACUCGGUGAAAUUAUAGUACCUGUGAAGAUGCAGGUUACCCGCGACAGGACGGAAAGACCCCGUGGAGCUUUACUGCAACCUGAUAUGGAAUGUUUGUACCGCUUGUACAGGAUAGGUAGGAGCCGAAGAGACGUGUGCGCUAGCAUACGAGGAGGCAAUGGUGGGAUACUACCCUGGCUGUAUGACCAUUCUAACCCGCCACGCUUAGCGCGUGGGGAGACAGUGUCAGGUGGGCAGUUUGACUGGGGCGGUCGCCUCCUAAAGAGUAACGGAGGCGCCCAAAGGUUCCCUCAGAAUGGAUGGAAAUCAUUCGCAGAGUGUAAAGGCACAAGGGAGCUUGACUG